AUUCCAACGCCUUAUCCUUGAGUAAUCAUGCUAAAUUGCUAAUUUGGUACUAGAAAAUAACUACUGUCUAUCGGCGCUUCAUUCAAAUUGCGCUGAAACUGCCCAAAAAGUGAUGUUUGUGGGGCUGGAACACCCAGUUUCCCACAGAUUAUUGGAGAGUGGGGCUUAUUUAAAUUUCCACCAGAUCGCUGCAUCAGGAAAAUUGCAGAAUUUUUUUAAGUGCUGUGGCUGUGACAGAUAUGAGGUCACAUAUGAUCUAACAAUGAUCUUAUCUGAUCAAGACCACCAUAUAACAGAGGAACAGAUCCCGUCUCCAUCACCGCAGAACAUGGACUGUUGAAAGGAUAAGUGAAUAAAAAUAAUAUAAUACAGCGAAAAUGAUGUUUGCCUUUAUUUUGAAUGCAGUAAAUAAUAUUAUUCAAUCGAAACAGCUGUUAUUAAGUUUUGAUAUGGAAUAUGAUCAUACUGAAGUAAGAAUAUUAUUAUUAAUUGUAUGUGGGUUAAUCAUUUAAGCAGUAAAGACACAUAUUGCAUGUCUAGCGGUAAUUUUUAUUUUUAUAUAUCACAUUUCUUAGGCUUUAGAGGCAUGUUAAACAUGUGAGGAUGUCUAAUUUUUUCUUACAUUUCCUGAAAGAUCAAGCGAUUUAAAUGUAAAAUGUGAGUUUGAUUUAUAAUAUUCGACUCAAACCAGAGGUGUUAGAUUACCAUAUUAGCUUGAAUUUCUACAAUAUAUGAUUAAAUGAAUCAUGAGGAUAGCUAUUAAAAGGAGUUUCAUCCACAUAUGAUGUUGUACUUUUAUGUUUAUUAAAAUAUAUUGUGUGAACCCUAGACUUCCUGUUCUGCUAAUUGUUAUUUGAUGUUUGUUUACUUUGCAGGAGUAGGAAAGUCCUCUCUUGUACAUUUACUUUGCCAGAAUCAAGUUUUGGGGAAUCCAUCAUGGACUGUUGGCUGCUCAGUGGACGACAGGGCGCAUGACUUCAGAAGGGCACUCCAGAAGAGAAGACUUUCUACAUUGAACUCUAGGAUGUUGGAGGAUCUGUUGGCAGUGCCAACAGUGUAAAAAGUUCCAGAGCUGACUCAACUGGGGCAGGGAGGUAUUGUUUUAGUUCAUGAUCUGACCAAUAAGAAAUCCUCCCAGAAUCUUUACCGCUGGUCACUGGAGGCACUGAGCAAAGACUCCUCGCCUACUGGGAUCAUCGUAUCUAAUGGGUAAUAGAGAAGAGAUACUUCACAAGAGACCCUAGGCAGAUGCAGAUUUUCACAGAUAGGAGGCGCUUCAAUUUCAAAAGUGACUGAAUGUAUGCACUUUGUAUGUUGAUGGGUUUUGUCCUGUCCACCACGACAAAAUGAUGAGUUUACCAUGACAGAAUGAUGUUUGUGGCUUGAUGAGAUAUCUCAUGUUCUGAUACAUUUUUGUUCUCAUAUUUUACUUUAAUUAUAUGGACCUAAUCCAAAAUUUCUUGCUUAGCACAGUGAUCAUUCAUUGGGAAUACCCUUUCACUUCCCUUCUGAUGUAUAACAUUUGUACUAAUGAGGUCACACAUGGACCCUACUAUAUUUUUGGUAAAAAGUAAACGAUAAUAAAUUUAUCCCUUUUUAUAGUAUCAUUUAAAGGGGCAUUCAGUAGUUCUCCAGCUAGCGUUAACAUUGCUCUUCUUCGUGUACUUUAAAUACUGAUGUGACAGCUGUGUUAGAUCCUGCACUGCCAUCUAUCAACGUGAAUCAGCAUGAUCGUCUCUGCUGCCCCCAUCAGCUCUGGAAUAUCAUUUGCAUCUGGAAAAUGUCAGAGUUUGAGGUAAUUUCUAAAGUUAUUUAUUACUACUAUAAUAUAAUUGCUUUGCCUAAAAAAACAAAAAAAAACAUCAGAAAUCAAGCGAACAUGCUUCUACUGUUAAGGACAGAUUAUUAUUGUCCCUCAUAUCAGUAAUCUUUGGAGACUGUCUAUGUUUCAUAUUAUUUCUAAAGAUAGUUAUUUCCUUUAUUAGAGAACUGCUCAGUGUAAAAUGAACCUCAUUAUCUAGCGAUACAGAAUGUCAUGGUAAAGGAAAGAUUAGAAUUGUUUUUGAUAAUUAAAUUUAACAUGUCCAUGAAUACUGUGUUUGACAAACUUUUUAUGUUUCAAAGCAACCAAUGUCAUGGUUUACACAAAAUCCACAACAAUCAUUGUGCCAAGCUACUUUGCACUAAACGAAUGAAGACGUAUUCCAUUUCAUAGAGCUGGAGGUAGAUGGGCAACCCUUACUAUAGCUGUGAUAACAAAGAAAAGAAAAUUACAUGUUGCUUUCUGGUUGCAUUUGUAAACUGCUGAAAACUAUCCAUUACUAACAUAUGUUGACUACACACGUCAUUUUAAAAAGUUUGAGGGAAACUUGUAUGAGUUUUCUGUAAAUUUCACUGAUACUAUUUUAGAGAGUGGUCUAAACAACUAAUAAUUCCUUACCUGUCCAACAAAAAAAGAAGCAACAUCGGCAUCACUACUCAUGUUUUUUUCCGUCAUCAAAUCUUUCCACCUUGUGUAUACCGUACCGAUGUUACUCUAGUUUUUUGCCUUUGCUGGUCUUUCUAUCUUCUUGCUUCAGACCUUUUUUUUUGCUUCUUUGGCAGUACAGCUACCGGAUUUCCCAUUGUCUCCGCUGCUAAAGCACGGUAAAUAUGUAUGUUCCAUUGAGUUCUUUUCACUCUUCACAUCACCAAACAACACUGCUCUAAGCAUAGCCAAGCCUAUGUACGUAGCCAGUGAGCGCAAGGAUUCUCUUCUUCAACGUUUAGUGAAACACCGCGAGUCAUACGAAUUCAACAUGGCAACAGACAUUGAGGGGGGUGACCCGCACCAUAUAUAAUAAAACACUUUUUUUAAGAAAACUAUUAUGAGUACAGUCUUCAUCUCAUGUGAGUGUUCACCAUUCAGAUCACUCUUCACAAAAACAUAACUCAUUUGUUAAUGUGUAAAACUUUUUAAAUUAGCCCAAAAUUACUGAAUGCACCUUUAAAGAGAGAUGUGUUUAUUUUAAUAAUUACCUGAGCCUACUUAUACUUCAUCUUUGUGAUUAGUCGGUUGCCAGUCAUUUGAAAGUAGAGAUGAACACACUCACUCAUAUAUUUAUAGUUUUUUAUUGUUGAUCUUUGUAAUUUAAAAAUAAUUUAAAAAGAUAGGUCUUUGCUAUAUUAGCAAGCUGCUCAUGUUAUGCAUGUACAUAGAGCUAUUUACUUGAAACAUCAACAAAAAAUA
Molecule: long non-coding RNA, 3229 nt
Organism: Myxocyprinus asiaticus (Chinese sucker)
Lineage: Eukaryota; Metazoa; Chordata; Actinopteri; Cypriniformes; Catostomidae
Exons: 5
Source: RefSeq, a predicted model, not a curated record